Molecule: ribosomal RNA, 503 nt
Filed under: uncultured bacterium
Lineage: Bacteria
Description: partial 16S ribosomal RNA
Rfam family: Bacterial small subunit ribosomal RNA
Source: RNAcentral
AUUGAACGCUGGCGGCAGGCUUAACACAUGCAAGUCGAGCGGGGUGAUGGUGCUUGCACUAUCACUUAGCGGCGGACGGGUGAGUAAUGCUUAGGAAUCUGCCUAUUAGUGGGGGACAACAUCUCGAAAGGGAUGCUAAUACCGCAUACGUCCUACGGGAGAAAGCAGGGGAUCACUUGUGACCUUGCGCUAAUAGAUGAGCCUAAGUCGGAUUAGCUAGUUGGUGGGGUAAAGGCCUACCAAGGCGACGAUCUGUAGCGGGUCUGAGAGGAUGAUCCGCCAGACUGGGACGUAGACACGGCCCAGACUCCUACGGGAGGCAGCAGUGGGGAAUAUUGGACAAUGGGGGGAACCCUGAUCCAGCCAUGCCGCGUGUGUGAAGAAGGCCUUAUGGUUGUAAAGCACUUUGAGCGAGGAGGAGGCUCUUUUGGUUAAUACCCAAGAUGAGUGGACGUUACUCGCAGAAUAAGCACCGGCUAACUCUGUGCCAGCAGCCGCCGUAA